UACGUAGGGUGCAAGCGUUAAUCGGAAUUACUGGGCGUAAAGAGCGUGUAGGCGGCCAUGUAGGUCCGGUGUGAAAACUCGAGGCUUAACCUCGAGAUGUCAUCGGAAACCAUUUGGCUAGAGUCCGGAAGAGGAGAGUGGAAUUCCUGGUGUAGCGGUGAAAUGCGCAGAUAUCAGGAAGAACACCAAUGGCGAAAGCAGCUCUCUGGGACGGUACUGACGCUGAGACGCGAAAGCGUGGGGAGCGAACAGG
RNAcentral lists this ribosomal RNA (253 nucleotides) under uncultured bacterium. RNAcentral's name for it is "partial 16S ribosomal RNA". It matches the Rfam family "Bacterial small subunit ribosomal RNA", at positions 524 to 776 of the family's 1533-position model. The record is from RNAcentral.